GAUGAACGCUGGCGGCGUGCCUAAUACAUGCAAGUCGAGCGAACAGACGAGGAGCUUGCUCCUCUGACGUUAGCGGCGGACGGGUGAGUAACACGUUGAUAACCUACCUAUAAGACUGGGAUAACUUCGGGAAACCGGAGCUAAUACCGGAUAAUAUCUUGAACCGCAUGGUUCAAUAGUGAAAGACGGUUUUGCUGUCACUUAUAGAUGGAUCCGCGCCUCAUUAGCUAGUUGGUAAGGUAACGGCUUACCAAGGCAACGAUGCGUAGCCGACCUGAGAGGGUGAUCGGCCACACUGGAACGGGGACACGGUCCAGACUCCUACGGGAGGCAGCAGUAGGGAAUCUUCCGAAAUGGGCGAAAGCCUGACGGAGCAACGCCGCGUGAGUGAUGAAGGUCUUCGGAUCGUAAAACUCUGUUAUUAGGGAAGAACAAAUGUGUAAGUAACUAUGCACGUCUUGACGGUACCUAAUCAGAAAGCCACGGCUAACUACGUG
RNAcentral lists this ribosomal RNA (497 nucleotides) under uncultured bacterium. RNAcentral describes it as "partial 16S ribosomal RNA". It matches the Rfam family "Bacterial small subunit ribosomal RNA", at positions 28 to 507 of the family's 1533-position model. The record is from RNAcentral.